AGUCGUAACAAGGUUUCCGUAGGUGAACCUGCGGAAGGAUCAUUAGUGAAUAUAGGACGUCCAACUUAACUUGGAGUCCGAACUCUCACUUUCUAACCCUGUGCACUUGUUUGGGAUAGUAACUCUCGCAAGAGAGCGAACUCCUAUUCACUUAUAAACACAAAGUCUAUGAAUGUAUUAAAUUUUAUAACAAAAUAAAACUUUCAACAACGGAUCUCUUGGCUCUCGCAUCGAUGAAGAACGCAGCGAAAUGCGAUAAGUAAUGUGAAUUGCAGAAUUCAGUGAAUCAUCGAAUCUUUGGACGCACCUUGCGCUCCAUGGUAUUCCGUGGAGCAUGCCUGUUUGAGUGUCAUGAAUACUUCAACCCUCCUCUUUCCUAAUGAUUGAAGAGGUGUUUGGUUUCUGAGCGCUGCUGGCCUUUACGGUCUAGCUCGUUCGUAAUGCAUUAGCAUCCGCAAUCGAACUUCGGAUUGACUUGGCGUAAUAGACUAUUCGCUGAGGAAUUCUAGUCUUCGGAUUAGAGCCGGGUUGGGUUAAAGGAAGCUUCUAAUCAGAAUGUCUACAUUUUAAGAUUAGAUCUCAAAUCAGGUAGGACUACCCGCUGAACUUAAGCAUAUCAAUAAGUCG
This 627-nucleotide ribosomal RNA is filed under the name uncultured fungus. RNAcentral describes it as "eukaryotic LSU rRNA". The stretch from base 199 to 352 matches the Rfam family "5.8S ribosomal RNA". The record is from RNAcentral. Lineage: Eukaryota; Fungi.